AGCAGUCGCCACGGUAAUACGAAGGGUGCAAGCGUUACUCGGAAUUACUGGGCGUAAAGCGUGCGUAGGUGGUGGUUUAAGUCCGUUGUGAAAGCCCUGGGCUCAACCUGGGAAUUGCAGUGGAUACUGGGUCACUAGAGUGUGGUAGAGGAUAGUGGAAUUUCCGGUGUAGCAGUGAAAUGCGUAGAGAUCGGAAGGAACAUCUGUGGCGAAGGCGACUAUCUGGGACAACACUGACGCUGAGGCACGAAGGCGUGGGGAGCAAACAGGAUUAGAUACCCGCGUAGUCCCUGUCUCUUAUAC
RNAcentral lists this ribosomal RNA (303 nucleotides) under uncultured bacterium. Its description in RNAcentral is "partial 16S ribosomal RNA". It matches the Rfam family "Bacterial small subunit ribosomal RNA", at positions 507 to 807 of the family's 1533-position model. The record is from RNAcentral.